Molecule: ribosomal RNA, 478 nt
Filed under: uncultured bacterium
Lineage: Bacteria
Description: partial 16S ribosomal RNA
Rfam family: Bacterial small subunit ribosomal RNA
Source: RNAcentral
GACGAACGCUGGCGGCGUGCUUAACACAUGCAAGUCGAACGGUAAGGCCCUUCGGGGUACACGAGUGGCGAACGGGUGAGUAACACGUGGGUGAUCUGCCCUGCACUUUGGGAUAAGCCUGGGAAACUGGGUCUAAUACCGGAUAGGACCAUGCGCCUCACGGUGUGUGGUGGAAAGCUUUUGCGGUGUGGGAUGGGCCCGCGGCCUAUCAGCUUGUUGGUGGGGUAAUGGCCUACCAAGGCGACGACGGGUAGCCGGCCUGAGAGGGUGACCGGCCACACUGGGACUGAGAUGCGGCCCAGACUCCUACGGGAGGCAGCAGUGGGGAAUAUUGCACAAUGGGCGCAAGCCUGAUGCAGCGACGCCGCGUGAGGGAUGACGGCCUUCGGGUUGUAAACCUCUUUCAGUAGGGACGAAGCGCAAGUGACGGUACCUACAGAAGAAGGACCGGCCAACUACGUGCCAGCAGCCGCCGUAA